AGGGUGAGGCCUGCCCCUUGCACUCUGGGCAUGCUGACCCCUGUGAUUUACCCAAAUGUGGGAAACUCG
Molecule: small nuclear RNA, 69 nt
Filed under: Crocodylus porosus (Australian saltwater crocodile)
Lineage: Eukaryota; Metazoa; Chordata; Crocodylia; Crocodylidae
Description: U1 spliceosomal RNA (ENSCPRG00005007337.1)
Rfam family: U1 spliceosomal RNA
About the family: U1 is a small nuclear RNA (snRNA) component of the spliceosome (involved in pre-mRNA splicing). Its 5' end forms complementary base pairs with the 5' splice junction, thus defining the 5' donor site of an intron.
Source: RNAcentral